AACGGAGGCGCUCAAAGGUUCCCUCAGAAUGGUUGGAAAUCAUUCAUAGAGUGUAAAGGCAUAAGGGAGCUUGACUGCGAGACCUACAAGUCGAGCAGGGUCGACAGACGGACUUAGUGAUCCGGUGGUUCCGCAUGGAAGGGCCAUCGCUCAACGGAUAAAAGCUACCCCGGGGAUAACAGGCUUAUCUCCCCCAAGAGUUCACAUCGACGGGGAGGUUUGGCACCUCGAUGUCGGCUCAUCGCAUCCUGGGGCUGUAGUCGGUCCCAAGGGUUGGGCUGUUCGCCCAUUAAAGCGGUACGCGAGCUGGGUUCAGAACGUCGUGAGACAGUUCGGUCCCUAUCCGUCGUGGGCGUAGGAAAUUUGAGAGGAGCUGUCCUUAGUACGAGAGGACCGGGAUGGACAUACCUCUGGUGUACCAGUUGUCGUGCCAACGGCAUAGCUGGGUAGCUAUGUGUGGACGGGAUAAGUGCUGAAAGCAUCUAAGCAUGAAGCCCCCCUCAAGAUGAGAUUUCCCAACUUCGGUUAUAAGAUCCCUCAAAGAUGAU
Molecule: ribosomal RNA, 548 nt
Rfam family: Bacterial large subunit ribosomal RNA